AGGCCCCUAAAUAUAUGCUAAGUGCAAAGGUUGUAUGAAAACAUAGACAGUCAGGAGGUUGGCUUAGAAGCAGCAAUCCUUUUAAAAGUGCGUAAUAGCUUACUGAUUAAGUUUGCUUGCGCCGAUAAUGCUCGGGACUAAGCAUUUUGCCGAAGUUGCGAUUACAAGGUAGGAAAGCGUUCUGUUUUAUUUGAAGUAUUGUUGUAAAAUUGUAUGGAUAAUUCAGAAGUGAGAAUGUCGGCUUAAGUAACGAAAAAAUUGGUGAGAAUCCAUUUCUCCGAAAGUCUAAGGUUUCCUUGGCAAGGCUCGUCCACUAAGGGUUAGUCAGCUUCUAAAAUGAGGUUUAAAUACGUAAUUGAUGUUAAACAGGUUAAUAUUCCUGUACUUAAUUUUUUCUGGCUUAAGGCGACGAAAAAAGUUAAUACUGGCCAGGUUUUGGUUCUUGGUUUAAAUUUUGAGGCGUUGAGAAAUAUAAACAAAAAAUGUUUUGAGUCAAAAAAUGAAUACAAAAUUGCUAAGGCAAUUGAGCAGUUGAUAUUUUUUUCCUAGAAAAAACUUUUAAAGUGGUAGCAAAAAUUAAGCUGUACUCCAAACUGACACAGGUAGAUGGGUUGAAUAUACUAAGGAGCGCGAGAUAACUCUUCUUAAGGAACUCGGCAAAAUAACCUUGUAACUUCGGGAGAAAAGGUGCCUUAUUUAGGUAAGGUUGCAGUGAAAGGGUCUAAGUGACUGUUUAUCAAAAACACAGGUCUCCGCUAAGUCGAAAGACGAUGUAUGGGGGCUGACGCCUGCCCAGUGCCGGUAGGUGAAAGAAAUUGGUUAGAUUUUCGAAGCUAGUGACUUAAGCCCCGGUGAACGGCGGCGAUAACUAUAAUCGUCUUAAGGUAGCGAAAUUCCUUGUCGGGUAAGUUCCGACCUGCACGAAAGGCGUAACAAUUUAGAUACUGUCUCAAGAAGAGACUCGGUGAAAUAGAAUUAACCGUGAAGAUGCGGUUGACUUGCACUUGGACAGAAAGACCCUAUGAAGUUUUAAGGUAAUUUGAAAUUAAAUUUGGAUUUUUCUUGCGCAGUAUAAGUGGGAGGCAAUGAUAAAUUUUUUUUGGAAAAUUUUGAGCCAUUAGUGAGAUACCACUCUGGAAAAGUUAAAAUUUUAAAGACAGAUAUUAACUAUUUGUUUGACAUUUUCAGACGGGCCUUUUUACUGGGGCGGUAGCCUCCUAAAAUGUAACGGAGGCGUACAAAGGUUUACUCAAACUAGUUGGAAAUUAGUUUAAGAAUGUAAAGGUAAAAGUAAGCUUAACUGUUAGACUUAUAAGUCAAACAGUGACGAAAGUCGGUCUUAGUGAUCCGAUGUUUUUAAAUGGUUGAGACAUCGCUUAACAGAUAAAAAUUACUCUAGGGAUAACAGGCUGAUCUUCCCCAAGAGUUCACAUCGACGGGGAGGUUUGGCACCUCGAUGUCGGCUCAUCGCAACCUGGAGCAGUAGUAUGUUCCAAGGGUUGGGCUGUUCGCCCAUAAAAGCGGUACGUGAGCUGGGUUCAGAACGUCGAGAGACAGUUCGGUCCAUAUCCGGUGCAAGCGAGAAGAGUAUUGAGAAGUUCUUUUUCUAGUACGAGAGGACCGAAAAGGAUAUACCAAUGGUGUUCCAGUUCUUAUUCCAAUAGGAAAUGCUGGGUAGCUACGUAUGUUGUGGAUAACUGC
Molecule: ribosomal RNA, 1701 nt
Filed under: Lepocinclis fusca
Lineage: Eukaryota; Euglenozoa; Euglenophyceae; Euglenales; Phacaceae
Description: bacterial LSU rRNA
Rfam family: Bacterial large subunit ribosomal RNA
Source: RNAcentral